GAUGAACGCUGGCGGCGUGCCUAAUACAUGCAAGUCGAGCGAACGGACGAGAAGCUUGCUUUUCUGAUGUUAGCGGCGGACGGGUGAGUAACACGUGGAUAACCUACCUAUAAGACUGGGAUAACUUCGGGAAACCGGCGCUAAUACCGGAUAAUAUUUUGAACCGCAUGGUUCAAAAGUGAAAGACGGUCUUGCUGUCACUUAUAGAUGGAUCCGCGCUGCAUUAGCUAGUUGGUAAGGUAACGGCUUACCAAGGCAACGAUGCAUAGCCGACCUGAGAGGGUGAUCGGCCACACUGGAACUGAGACACGGUCCAGACUCCUACGGGAGGCAGCAGUAGGGAAUCUUCCGCAGAGGGCGAAAGCCUGACGGAGCAACGCCGCGUGAGUGAUGAAGGUCUUCGGAUCGUAAAACUCUGUUAUUAGGGAAGAACAUAUGUGUAAGUAACUGUGCACAUCUUGACGGUACCUAAUCAGAAAGCCACGGCUAACUACGUG
RNAcentral lists this ribosomal RNA (497 nucleotides) under uncultured bacterium. RNAcentral describes it as "partial 16S ribosomal RNA". It matches the Rfam family "Bacterial small subunit ribosomal RNA", at positions 28 to 507 of the family's 1533-position model. The record is from RNAcentral.